Molecule: non-coding RNA, 84 nt
Organism: Nemania sp. FL0031
Lineage: Eukaryota; Fungi; Ascomycota; Sordariomycetes; Xylariales; Xylariaceae
Source: the annotation of a GenBank genome assembly
UCCGAAUUGGUGUAGUGGCUAACAUUUGACGCUCUCAUCUCAUGAAGUACCGUCAAGCCCGGGGUUCGAUUCCCCGAUUCGGAG